This is a ribosomal RNA of Thermoplasmatales archaeon B_DKE, 122 nucleotides long. The record is from Rfam. NCBI's taxonomy places the organism in Archaea, Methanobacteriati, Thermoplasmatota, Thermoplasmata, Thermoplasmatales.
CGUGACGGCCAUAACAGUGGGGUCACACCAGGUCUCAUCCCGAACCCGACGGUAAAGCCCACUGCGUAUCGCACAUGUACUAUGUUCCGCGAGGGCAUGGGAAAUGCGAUUCGCUGUCACAU